UGGGUAGGCGGGCUGGUAUGUCCGGCGUUUAAUUUGUCCGCUUAACGGGCAAUAUGCGUUGGAAACUGCCAGUCUUGAGUCGCGUAGAGGAAGGUGGAAUUCCUGGUGUAGCGGUGAAAUGUGUAGAUAUCAGGAAGAACACCGGUAGCGAAGGCGGCCUUCUGGGCGCUGACUGACGCUAAUCCACGAAAGUGUGGGGAGCAAACAGGAUUAGAUACCCUGGUAGUCCACACCGUAAACGAUGAACACUAGGUGUUGGAAGGAUAAAACCUUUCAGUGCCGAAGCUAACGCAUUAAGUGUUCCGCCUGGGGAGUACGAUCGCAAGGUUGAA
Molecule: ribosomal RNA, 332 nt
Filed under: uncultured bacterium
Lineage: Bacteria
Description: bacterial SSU rRNA
Rfam family: Bacterial small subunit ribosomal RNA
Source: RNAcentral